RNAcentral lists this ribosomal RNA (899 nucleotides) under Ceriporia excelsa. Its description in RNAcentral is "LSU rRNA". It matches the Rfam family "Eukaryotic large subunit ribosomal RNA", at positions 34 to 937 of the family's 3401-position model. Lineage: Eukaryota; Fungi; Basidiomycota; Agaricomycetes; Polyporales; Irpicaceae. The record is from RNAcentral.
UGAAGCAUAUCAAUAAGCGGAGGAAAAGAAACUAACAAGGAUUUCCCCUAGUAACUGCGAGUGAAGCGGGAAAAGCUCAAAUUUAAAAUCUGGCGGUCUUUGGCUGUCUGAAUUGUAUUCUAAAGAAGCGUUUUCUGUGCUGGACCGUGUACAAGUCUCUUGGAACAGAGUAUCAUAGAGGGUGAGAAUCCCGUCUUUGACAUGGACUACCAGUGCUAUGUGAUGCGCUCUCAAAGAGUCGAGUUGUUUGGGAAUGCAGCUCAAAAUGGGUGGUAAAUUCCAUCUAAAGCUAAAUAUUGGCGAGAGACCGAUAGCGAACAAGUACCGUGAGGGAAAGAUGAAAAGCACUUUGGAAAGAGAGUUAAACAGUACGUGAAAUUGCUGAAAGGGAAACGCUUGAAGUCAGUCGCGUUAGUCAGAACUCAGCCUUGCUUUUGCUUGGUGCACUUUCUGAUUGACGGGCCAGCAUCAGUUUUGAUUGUGGGAAAAAAGUUAGAGGAAUGUGGCACCUUCGGGUGUGUUAUAGCCUUUGAUUAUAUACCAUGGUUGGGACUGAGGAUCUCAGCACGCGUAAGCUGUGCUAAGGAUGCUGGCGUAAUGGCUUUAAACGACCCGUCUUGAAACACGGACCAAGGAGUCUAACAUGCCUGCGAGUGUUUGGGUGGAAAACCCGAGCGCGUAAUGAAAGUGAAAGUUGGGAUCUCUGUCGUGGAGAGCACCGACGCCCGGACCAGACCUUCUGUGACGGAUCUGCGGUAGAGCAUGUAUGUUGGGACCCGAAAGAUGGUGAACUAUGCCUGAAUAGGGUGAAGCCAGAGGAAACUCUGGUGGAAGCUCGUAGCGAUUCUGACGUGCAAAUCGAUCGUCAAAUUCGGGUCACAUGCGGCGAGAGUCAAUCU